This 253-nucleotide ribosomal RNA is filed under the name uncultured bacterium. RNAcentral's name for it is "partial 16S ribosomal RNA". It matches the Rfam family "Bacterial small subunit ribosomal RNA", at positions 524 to 776 of the family's 1533-position model. The record is from RNAcentral.
UACGUAGGGUGCGAGCGUUAAUCGGAAUUACUGGGCGUAAAGGGUGCGCAGGUGGUUUAUCAAGCCAGAUGUGAAAUCCCCGGGCUUAACCUGGGAAUGGCAUUUGGGACUGAUAGGCUAGAGUACGGCAGAGGGGGGUAGAAUUCCACGUGUAGCAGUGAAAUGCGUAGAGAUGUGGAGGAAUACCGAUGGCGAAGGCAGCCCCCUGGGUUGAUACUGACACUCAAGCACGAAAGCGUGGGUAGCAAACAGG